This 350-nucleotide ribosomal RNA is filed under the name Aculus sp. GX55_1. RNAcentral's name for it is "partial small subunit ribosomal RNA". The record is from RNAcentral. Lineage: Eukaryota; Metazoa; Arthropoda; Arachnida; Trombidiformes; Eriophyidae.
CCCCUAGUGGGAGUGACGGGCGAUUUGUGCAUGCAGAAUAAAAUUUAAAUUUUGGAUAUUUUCUCAAAAUUUACUCACAAGUUCAUUAUUUCUUAGAUUUUUUUAGUUAAUAAUUUUUUUCAGUGAAGCCCACCUCUACUUUAUUGUCUCCCGAAUCUUGAUUUGUUUUAUAUGCCAAAGCUGUAUAAAGAUAAAAGCCUAUUUUAAUUAAACAAUGAUAUGUGAGGUAAAAAACAAAGCAAGAUCUUAUCGUGGGUUAUCGAUUACAGGGCAGGCCUCCCUGUUCAAGCUACACCGCCAUUUCUUUCUAGGUUUCUUUAUUAUGAAUACUUUCUUGAUUUUUUUUAGAA